AAAAAAAAAAGAAGAAGAAAAUUACAUGUUGAAAUAUAGAAACGAAUCACUACACCAGAGAACUAAUAAAAAAAGAACCUUGCUGCAGCAUAUUAGGAUUCAGAACUUGUUUCAGCAACCUAAAGAUAUUACACCUAAAAGCAGUCAAGUUGCAAAAAGCAACUGCUUUGUGUUAAAGUACCAGAUGCUGGUAGUAGCACCCUAAUGUUUACCACUAUAUCUAUCCAACGAGGACAGCUUACUCUUAUUGAAAACACUUUCUAUGCUCCUUGUAUACUUCACAUCACUCUCCCAGCCCUUAUCUAAUGGAGAAAAAAAAAAAGUUAUUCAGAAAAAGAUUCCUUGAGCUGAUAUGGAAGAGAAGUUGUAGCAUCAUACUAGGUAAGACUUUAGAUGGUUUCACUUCACAUGGUUGACAAAUAGUUUUUUGUCCAAAGAUAAGGGUUUCUUCAGAUUGGAGGUGAUUUGAAAGGGAUGUGAGUUCCAACUAAUAAAUUGCAGCUUUAUAAACCACAAUCAAAGAACACCCAUUAUCAAUAUCGAUUGGAAUUUGGAAACCCCCUAUCAAUUUCAUUUAAGCCAAAAAAAAAAUUGAAAUACUUGAGUACAAAAAUUGACAUAAAUCCGGCUUAUUCAAAAGAACCGUUCAAAACCCAAGAUCUUUCCAACAACCAAAACCUGUUAUUCGAGGCAACAGUGAACCCGAGUGGUAUAUACACAAUGGUAAAGAGA
RNAcentral lists this unclassified non-coding RNA (732 nucleotides) under Hevea brasiliensis (rubber tree). The record is from RNAcentral. Lineage: Eukaryota; Viridiplantae; Streptophyta; Magnoliopsida; Malpighiales; Euphorbiaceae.